This 440-nucleotide long non-coding RNA is filed under the name Rattus norvegicus (Norway rat). RNAcentral's name for it is "long non-coding RNA NONRATT030241". Lineage: Eukaryota; Metazoa; Chordata; Mammalia; Rodentia; Muridae. The record is from RNAcentral.
GCCAUGACAUGCCCAAGAGCAUCGGGAGCUAAGGGAGCUAAAUGUUCUAAAAUGGCUAACCCAAAUAAACCUUUCUUCUUUCUAAGUUCAUUACCUCAGGCAUUUUGCUAUACUGGAAUUCUGCCUGACACAGCAGGUGGCCUUUAUGUCCCUAUUCUGAUUGUGCCUUGUACUUUCUUCCCUCUCACCUGCAGGCCUCGGCAGUGGGAUGGCCUACCUGCCUGCAGUGGUCAUGGUGGGAAGGUACUUUCAGAAGAGACGAGCCCUGGCCCAGGGCCUCAGUACCACAGGGACAGGAUUUGGGACAUUCCUGAUGACCGUGCUGCUGAAGUACCUGUGUGCAGAAUAUGGCUGGCGGAAUGCCAUGUUCAUCCAAGGUGCUCUGUCCCUGAACUUGUGUGUUUGUGGGGCGCUCAUGAGGCCCCUCUCUCCUGAGAAAG